This 468-nucleotide ribosomal RNA is filed under the name uncultured bacterium. RNAcentral describes it as "partial 16S ribosomal RNA". It matches the Rfam family "Bacterial small subunit ribosomal RNA", at positions 28 to 507 of the family's 1533-position model. The record is from RNAcentral.
GACGAACGCUGGCGGCGUGCUUAACACAUGCAAGUCGAACGGAAAGGCCCUGCUUUUGUGGGGUGCUCGAGUGGCGAACGGGUGAGUAACACGUGAGUAACCUGCCCUUGACUUUGGGAUAACUUCAGGAAACUGGGGCUAAUACCGGCUAGGUGCUCCUGCUGCAGGGUGGGGGUUGGAAAGUUUGGGCGGUUGGGGAUGGACGGGGGGCUUAUCAGCUUGUUGGUGGGGUAGCGGCUUACGAGGUCUUUGGUGGGUGGUCGGCAUGGGAGGGUGACCGGCGACAUUGGGACUGAGAGACGGCCCAGAGGCCUACGGGAGGCAGCAGUGGGAAAUAUUGCACAAUGGGCGGAAGCCUGAUGAAGCGACGCCGCGUGCGUGAAGACGGCCUUCGUGUUGUAAACCGCUUUCGCCUGUGACGAAGCGUGAGUGACGGUAAUGGGUAAAGAAGCACCGGCUAACUACGUG